AUGCCACUGCAUUCUCUAAAUCAAAUUUUGCUUGGUUGCUCCCCUGGUGAUCCUGUUUGUUGUGGUUGGUGCUUCAGGUUUGCUCCUCCUCCCCUCUUUCACCAGAUUUUCUCAAUAUGGCCAUUACACACAAUCAAGAUGUGUACAACUACAAGAAGAUCCAGGUUUAAAUAUAACAUGUCAUACCAUAUGAUAAUGCUACUCCGUCUACACUAG
Molecule: ribosomal RNA, 216 nt
Filed under: Triticum aestivum (bread wheat)
Lineage: Eukaryota; Viridiplantae; Streptophyta; Magnoliopsida; Poales; Poaceae
Description: partial small subunit ribosomal RNA
Source: RNAcentral